RNAcentral lists this transfer RNA (72 nucleotides) under Camelus bactrianus (Bactrian camel). It matches the Rfam family "tRNA". Rfam says of the family: Transfer RNA (tRNA) molecules are approximately 80 nucleotides in length. Their secondary structure includes four short double-helical elements and three loops (D, anti-codon, and T loops). RNAcentral also lists the same sequence under 3 other names. Lineage: Eukaryota; Metazoa; Chordata; Mammalia; Artiodactyla; Camelidae. The record is from Rfam by way of RNAcentral.
AGGGCUAUGGCUCAGUGGUAAAGCACAUGCCUGAAAUUCACAAGGUCCUGGGUUCAAUCCUCAGUAACUCCA